CACAUAUGAUCAAAUACAAGUAUAUUCCUUUCAACAUUGGAAAGCAGAAGUAUGUUGGUAAGAAGGCUUCUGCAAGUGGCAGUGGUUCACGUGGGGAUUAAACAUUGACCGGUUCAUAGGGCUUGUAGAAAAGGACCAGAUGGGGAAAAAUAUGUAGAAGUGAAGAUUCAUGAUAAUUGAUUUUUUUUUUUUUCCCUUCCUUUUUGAGUGACAUGCAUUAAUGUUAUGUGAUGGUUUGGAAUAUGCACUCGCAAUUGUGCCUUGGCAUUUUAUGAUGGCAGAGUGCUGAUGUAGCAGAAAGUGAAAUUUCAUCGUUUAUACGCAUAUUAAGAAGAUUCAGUUAUGUUUCUGAAAAUGAUUCUAUGUAAACUGCAUGGUGCAGUAUUAUUAGUUCACUCUCUGGUUUCUCAAUGUUAGACAUGGAAAUUGGCAGUAGCAGUUAGUGAAAUUUUCAUGCAAAUCAGAAGUUAUUACAGCCACU
This 481-nucleotide unclassified non-coding RNA is filed under the name Hevea brasiliensis (rubber tree). The record is from RNAcentral. Lineage: Eukaryota; Viridiplantae; Streptophyta; Magnoliopsida; Malpighiales; Euphorbiaceae.